UUGUUAGAGGCGCAAAAGUAAAGAGUAGUUAGCUUUUGGCACUCAUUUGCCCAUAAAAGCGAAACAAAAGGUGCUUUUGCCGAAACCGGACCGUUAAUGAGGCGGAAAGGUUGGGAGCAAGAAUAAUAUUCUUGCUACUGUCGCAACACUUUUGCGGAGUGCUACA
This 166-nucleotide non-coding RNA is filed under the name human gut metagenome. RNAcentral describes it as "Lysine riboswitch". It matches the Rfam family "Lysine riboswitch aptamer". Rfam says of the family: Riboswitches are metabolite binding domains within certain messenger RNAs that serve as precision sensors for their corresponding targets. The record is from RNAcentral.